GAUGAACGCUGGCGGCGUGCCUAAUACAUGCAAGUCGAGCGAACGGACGAGAAGCUUGCUUCUCUGAUGUUAGCGGCGGACGGGUGAGUAACACGUGGAUAACCUACCUAUAAGACUGGGAUAACUUCGGGAAACCGGAGCUAAUACCGGAUAAUAUUUUGAACCGCAUGGUUCAAAAGUGAAAGACGGUCUUGCCGUCACUUAUAGAUGGAUCCGCGCUGCAUUAGCUAGUUGGUAAGGUAACGGCUUACCAAGGCAACGAUGCAUAGCCGACCUGAGAGGGUGAUCGGCCACACUGGAACUGAGACACGGUCCAGACUCCUACGGGAGGCAGCAGUAGGGAAUCUUCCGCAAUGGGCGAAAGCCUGACGGAGCAACGCCGCGUGAGUGAUGAAGGUCUUCGGAUCGUAAAACCCUGUUAUUAGGGAAGAACAUAUGUGUAAGUAACUGUGCACAUCUUGACGGUACCUAAUCAGAAAGCCACGGCUAACUACGUG
This 497-nucleotide ribosomal RNA is filed under the name uncultured bacterium. RNAcentral's name for it is "partial 16S ribosomal RNA". It matches the Rfam family "Bacterial small subunit ribosomal RNA", at positions 28 to 507 of the family's 1533-position model. The record is from RNAcentral.